UACGUAGGGGGCAAGCGUUAUCCGGAUUUACUGGGUGUAAAGGGAGCGUAGACGGCUUUGCAAGCCAGAUGUGAAAGCCCGGGGCUCAACCUCGGGACUGCAUUUGGAACUGUAUGGCUGGAGUGUCGGAGAGGCAGGCGGAAUUCCUAGUGUAGCGGUGAAAUGCGUAGAUAUUAGGAGGAACACCAGUGGCGAAGGCGGCCUGCUGGGCUUUUACUGACGCUGAGGCUCGAAAGUGUGGGGAGCAAACAGG
Molecule: ribosomal RNA, 253 nt
Filed under: uncultured bacterium
Lineage: Bacteria
Description: partial 16S ribosomal RNA
Rfam family: Bacterial small subunit ribosomal RNA
Source: RNAcentral